This 200-nucleotide ribosomal RNA is filed under the name uncultured bacterium. RNAcentral describes it as "partial 16S ribosomal RNA". It matches the Rfam family "Bacterial small subunit ribosomal RNA", at positions 28 to 227 of the family's 1533-position model. The record is from RNAcentral.
GAUGAACGCUGGCGGCGCGCCUAACACAUGCAAGUCGAACGAUUAAAGCACCUUCGGGUGUGUAUAAAGUGGCGAACGGCUGAGUAACACGUGGGCAACCUGCCCCUUUCAUUGGGAUAGCCACGGGAAACCGUGGAUAAUACCGAAUACUUCGAGACUUCCGCAUGGAAGACUCGAGAAAGCUCCGGCGGAGAGGGAUG